GGCAUAAACACUUAAGCUUAUAAAUGAUGGAGAGGGUUUUGCAAACUAGGGAAAAAAAAAGAAUAACUGUAAAAAAUAACCAGCAUUCUAAUUGUUAACAUCUUGCAGAAAAAUUUCAUCUAUGUUGAUACAAGACUGCUGAUAAAUUAAGUCAGGUAUCCAACAGGCGCCAAAGACUCAUGGAGAUGGCUGAACCUUUACACAAGCAUAAACAAAGCUGCAUUUUUUUCCAUUUGAAUCUAAUUGAGUGCAACUUUUGAUCAAAAUAAGUGAAAUCAAUCUAUGAAGUAUGGGGUGAUAUAAAGUUGCAAGUUAGAAAAGCUUUUGCUGCAUACAAUAUGGAAAGAAAGAAGGUUUAUCUGCUUAAACAUGCUAGCUUUAAGGCCAAAAAUAGGGGUGAAAUAAAAAGGACAAACUGAGUAAAGGCAUUGAAACUUAGGUGAGGAGAACAUACUUGCUCUAUUAAUCAUCUGCGUGGGAGUGAUUAUAUGGGGAACGGGUUCUAAUGCAGCC
Molecule: unclassified non-coding RNA, 513 nt
Filed under: Hevea brasiliensis (rubber tree)
Lineage: Eukaryota; Viridiplantae; Streptophyta; Magnoliopsida; Malpighiales; Euphorbiaceae
Source: RNAcentral